AUAGGCUGGUCACACCCUGUGCAGGAGUCAGUCCCAGUCAGGACACAGCAUGGACAUGAGGGUCCCCGCUCAGCUCCUGGGGCUCCUGCUGCUCUGGCUCCCAGGUGCCAGAUGUGACAUCCAGAUGACUCAGUCUCCAUCCUCCCUGUCUGCAUCUGUAGGAGACAGAGUCACCAUCACUUGCCGAGCGAGUCAGAGCAUUAGCAAUGAGUUAGAAUGGUAUCAGCAGAAGCCAGGGAAAGCCCCUGUGCUUCUGAUCUAUGCUGCAUCCAGUUUGCAGACAGGGGUCCCAUCUCGGUUCAGUGGCAGUGGAUCUGGGACAGAUUUCACUCUCACCAUCAGCAGCCUGCAGCCUGAAGAUGUUGCAACUUAUUACUGUCAACAGGAUUAUGGUUACCCUCUCACAGUGUUAUAAAUCAUAAC
Sapajus apella (tufted capuchin) is the source of this 423-nucleotide non-coding RNA. Lineage: Eukaryota; Metazoa; Chordata; Mammalia; Primates; Cebidae. The record is from the annotation of a RefSeq genome assembly.